RNAcentral lists this ribosomal RNA (497 nucleotides) under uncultured bacterium. Its description in RNAcentral is "partial 16S ribosomal RNA". It matches the Rfam family "Bacterial small subunit ribosomal RNA", at positions 28 to 507 of the family's 1533-position model. The record is from RNAcentral.
GAUGAACGCUGGCGGCGUGCCUAAUACAUGCAAGUCGAGCGAACAGACGAGGAGCUUGCUCCUCUGACGUUAGCGGCGGACGGGUGAGUAACACGUGGAUAACCUACCUAUAAGACUGGGAUAACUUCGGGAAGCCGGAGCUAAUACCGGAUAAUAUAUUGAACCGCAUGGUUCAAUAGAGAAAGACGGUUUUGCUGUCACUUAUAGAUGGAUCCGCGCCGCAUUAGCUAGUUGGUAAGGUAACGGCUUACCAAGGCGACGAUGCGUAGCCGACCUGAGAGGGUGAUCGGCCACACUGGAACUGAGACACGGUCCAGACUCCUACGGGAGGCAGCAGUAGGGAAUCUUCCGCAAUGGGCGAAAGCCUGACGGAGCAACGCCGCGUGAGUGAUGAAGGUCUUCGGAUCGUAAAACUCUGUUAUUAGGGAAGAACAAAUGUGUAAGUAACUAUGCACGUCUUGACGGUACCUAAUCAGAAAGCCACGGCUAACUACGUG